Zootoca vivipara (common lizard) is the source of this 272-nucleotide non-coding RNA. The record is from RefSeq and is a predicted model, not a curated record. Lineage: Eukaryota; Metazoa; Chordata; Lepidosauria; Squamata; Lacertidae.
GUUUCCUCCAAUUUGAAGAACAUCUCGAGUUAUUUCAGUGAGGGAGGAAACUUUGGCUGCUGCUUCUGAGCUAGGCCAGCUGGGACGGAGCCAAGAUGCUCGUACGGAGGGGGAGGCCAGGUUGGGGAAACUUAUAAGAUCAGCGAGGGAACGACUCAGCCUGGGAGCCGCCGCAUCCUGGGAGGGACUGGAGCCCAGACAAGGGCUUCUCCCCUCAGAGGAUCUCCUGUCUGCACCGCUGUGGCUGCUGCCAAAGCCUCCCAUAAAAAGAA